AUUGAACGCUGGCGGCAGGCUUAACACAUGCAAGUCGAACGAGUGGCGGACGGGUGAGUAAUGCCUGGGAAUCUAGCUUAUGGAGGGGGAUAACUACGGGAAACUGUAGCUAAUACCGCGUACCAUAGGAUGAGCCCAAGUGGGAUUAGCUAGUUGGUGGGGUAAAGGCUCACCAAGCCGACGAUCUCUAGCUGGUCUGAGAGGAUGACCAGCCACACUGGAACUGAGACACGGCCCAGACUCCUACGGGAGGCAGCAGUGGGGAAUAUUGCGCAAUGGGCGCAAGCCUGACGCAGCCAUGCCGCGUGUGUGAAGAAGGCCUUCGGGUUGUAAAGCACUUUCAGUGGGGAGGCGUUACCCGCAGAAGAAGCACCGGCUAACUCCGUGCCAGCAGCCGCGGUAAUAC
RNAcentral lists this ribosomal RNA (406 nucleotides) under uncultured bacterium. RNAcentral's name for it is "partial 16S ribosomal RNA". It matches the Rfam family "Bacterial small subunit ribosomal RNA", at positions 30 to 526 of the family's 1533-position model. The record is from RNAcentral.